AUAAUACUUCCUCCGUUCCAAAUUACUCGUCGCAGAAAUGGAUGUAUCUAGAACUAAAAUACAUCUAGAUACAUCCAUACCCGCGACAAGUAAUUCAGAACGGAGUGAGUAUCUU
Non-coding RNA from Triticum urartu, 115 nucleotides. The record is from Rfam. NCBI's taxonomy places the organism in Eukaryota, Viridiplantae, Streptophyta, Magnoliopsida, Poales, Poaceae.